UACGUAGGGUGCGAGCGUUAAUCGGAAUUACUGGGCGUAAAGCGUGCGCAGGCGGUUCGUUGUGUCGGCGGUGAAAGCCCCGGGCUUAACCUGGGAAUGGCCGUUGAAACUGGCGAACUGGAGUGUGGCAGAGGGGGGUGGAAUUCCGCGUGUAGCAGUGAAAUGCGUAGAGAUGUGGAAGAACACCGAUGGCGAAGGCAGCCCCCUGGGAUGAGACUGACGCUCAUGUACGAAAGCGUGGGGAGCAAACAGG
This 253-nucleotide ribosomal RNA is filed under the name uncultured bacterium. RNAcentral's name for it is "partial 16S ribosomal RNA". It matches the Rfam family "Bacterial small subunit ribosomal RNA", at positions 524 to 776 of the family's 1533-position model. The record is from RNAcentral.